GGAAGCAGCUUGCUGCUUCGCUGACGAGUGGCGGACGGGUGAGUAAUGUCUGGGAAACUGCCUGAUGGAGGGGGAUAACUACUGGAAACGGUAGCUAAUACCGCAUAAUGUCGCAAGACCAAAGAGGGGGACCUUCGGGCCUCUUGCCAUCGGAUGUGCCCAGAUGGGAUUAGCUUGUUGGUGGGGUAACGGCUCACCAAGGCGACGAUCCCUAGCUGGUCUGAGAGGAUGACCAGCCACACUGAAACUGAGACACGGUCCAGACUCCUACGGGAGGCAGCAGUGGGGAAUAUUGCACAAUGGGCGCAAGCCUGAUGCAGCCAUGCCGCGUGUAUGAAGAAGGCCUUCGGGUUGUAAAGUACUUUCAGCGGGGAGGAAGGGAGUAAAGUUAAUACCUUUGCUCAUCGACGUUACCCGCAGAAGAAGCACCGGCUAACUCCGUGCCAGCAGCCGCGGUAAUACGGAGGGUGCAAGCGUUAAUCGGAAUUACUGGGCGUAAAGCGCACGCAGGCGGUUUGUUAAGUCAGAUGUGAAAUCCCCGGGCUCAACCUGGGAACUGCAUCUGAUACUGGCAAGCUUGAGUCUCGUAGAGGGGGGUAGAAUUCCAGGUGUAGCGGUGAAAUGCGUAGAGAUCUGGAGGAAUACCGGUGGCGAAGGCG
This 659-nucleotide ribosomal RNA is filed under the name uncultured Enterobacterales bacterium. RNAcentral describes it as "bacterial SSU rRNA". It matches the Rfam family "Bacterial small subunit ribosomal RNA", at positions 71 to 723 of the family's 1533-position model. The record is from RNAcentral. Lineage: Bacteria; Pseudomonadati; Pseudomonadota; Gammaproteobacteria; Enterobacterales.